UACGGAGGGUGCAAGCGUUAUCCGGAUUCACUGGGUUUAAAGGGUGCGUAGGCGGGCAGGUAAGUCCGUGGUGAAAUCUCUGAGCUUAACUCAGAAACUGCCAUGGAUACUAUUUGUCUUGAAUGUUGUGGAGGUAAGCGGAAUAUGUCAUGUAGCGGUGAAAUGCUUAGAUAUGACAUAGAACACCUAUUGCGAAGGCAGCUUACUACGCAGAUAUUGACGCUCAUGCACGAAAGCGUGGGGAUCAAACAGG
Molecule: ribosomal RNA, 253 nt
Filed under: uncultured bacterium
Lineage: Bacteria
Description: partial 16S ribosomal RNA
Rfam family: Bacterial small subunit ribosomal RNA
Source: RNAcentral